GGGCCCGCACAAGCGGUGGAGCAUGUGGUUUAAUUCGAUGAUACGCGAGGAACCUUACCAGGGCUUAAAUGUAGUCUGACAGCUUUAGAGAUAGAGUUUUCUUCGGACAGAUUACAAGGUGCUGCAUGGUUGUCGUCAGCUCGUGCCGUGAGGUGUCAGGUUAAGUCCUAUAACGAGCGCAACCCCUGUCGUUAGUUGCCAGCAUGUCAUGAUGGGGACUCUAACGAGACUGCCGGUGCAAACCGCGAGGAAGGUGGGGAUGACGUCAAAUCAUCACGGCCCUUACGUCCUGGCCACACACGUGCUACAAUGGCCGGUACAGAGAGCCGCAAAGCUGUGAAGUGAAGCUAAA
This 352-nucleotide ribosomal RNA is filed under the name uncultured bacterium. RNAcentral describes it as "bacterial SSU rRNA". It matches the Rfam family "Bacterial small subunit ribosomal RNA", at positions 917 to 1272 of the family's 1533-position model. The record is from RNAcentral.